GUGGGGAAUAUUGGGCAAUGGGGGAAACCCUGACCCAGCAACGCCGCGUGAGGGAAGAAGGUUUUCGGAUUGUAAACCUCUGUCCUUGGUGACGAAGGAAGUGACGGUAACCAAGGAGGAAGCCCCGGCUAACUACGUGCCAGCAGCCGCGGUAAUACGUAGGGGGCAAGCGUUGUCCGGAAUGACUGGGCGUAAAGGGCGUGUAGGCGGCCGAUUAAGUCUGGAGUGAAAGUCCUGCUUUCAAGGUGGGAAUUGCUUUGGAGACUGGUUGGCUUGAGUGCGGAAGAGGUAAGUGGAAUUCGCAGUGUAGCGGUGAAAUGCGUAGAGAUUGGGAGGAACACCAGUGGCGAAGGCGACUUACUGGGCCGUAACUGACGCUGAGGCGCGAAAGCGUGGGGAGCGAACAGGAUUAGAAACCCGGGUAGUCC
This 428-nucleotide ribosomal RNA is filed under the name uncultured bacterium. Its description in RNAcentral is "partial 16S ribosomal RNA". It matches the Rfam family "Bacterial small subunit ribosomal RNA", at positions 354 to 796 of the family's 1533-position model. The record is from RNAcentral.